GAUGAAGAACGUAGCGAAAUGCGAUAAGUAAUGUGAAUUGCAGAAUUCAGUGAAUCAUCGAAUCUUUGAACGCACAUUGCGCCCUUUGGUAUUCCGAAGGGCAUGCCUGUUCGAGCGUCAUUUCACCACUCAAGCCUGGCUUGGUAUUGGGCGCCGCGGUCGAUCCGCGCGCCUCAAAGUCUCCGGCUGAGCUGUCCGUCUCUAAGCGUUGUGAUUUCAUUAAUCGCUUCGGAGUGCGGGCGGCCGCGGCCGUUAAAUCUUUCACAAGGUUGACCUCGGAUCAGGUAGGGAUACCCGCUGAACUUAUGCAUAUCAAUAACGGAGGA
This 326-nucleotide unclassified non-coding RNA is filed under the name soil metagenome. RNAcentral describes it as "partial contains 5.8S ribosomal RNA, internal transcribed spacer 2, and large subunit ribosomal RNA". The stretch from base 1 to 120 matches the Rfam family "5.8S ribosomal RNA", at positions 35 to 154 of the family's 154-position model. The record is from RNAcentral.